This 445-nucleotide ribosomal RNA is filed under the name uncultured bacterium. RNAcentral's name for it is "bacterial SSU rRNA". It matches the Rfam family "Bacterial small subunit ribosomal RNA", at positions 331 to 793 of the family's 1533-position model. The record is from RNAcentral.
CCAGACUCCUACGGGAGGCAGCAGUGGGGAAUAUUGCACAAUGGGGGAAACCCUGAUGCAGCGACGCCGCGUGAGCGAUGAAGUAUUUCGGUAUGUAAAGCUCUAUCAGCAGGGAAGAAGAUGACGGUACCUGACUAAGAAGCCCCGGCUAACUACGUGCCAGCAGCCGCGGUAAUACGUAGGGGGCAAGCGUUAUCCGGAUUUACUGGGUGUAAAGGGAGCGUAGACGGCGAUGCAAGCCAGAUGUGAAAGCCCGGGGCUCAACCCCGGGACUGCAUUGGAAACUGGCAGGCUGGAGUGCCGGAGAGGCAGGCGGAAUUCCUAGUGUAGCGGUGAAAUGCGUAGAUAUUAGGAGGAACACCAGUGGCGAAGGCGGCCUGCUGGACGGUGACUGACGCUGAGGCUCGAAAGCGUGGGGAGCAAACAGGAUUAGAUACCCUAGUAC